Oncorhynchus tshawytscha (Chinook salmon) is the source of this 503-nucleotide long non-coding RNA. The record is from Ensembl. Lineage: Eukaryota; Metazoa; Chordata; Actinopteri; Salmoniformes; Salmonidae.
CAUGGUUACAAGGUUAUUUCUGCGUGGUUACGAGGUUAUUUCUGCGUGGUUACGAGGUUAUUUCUGCAUGGUCACAAGGUUAUUUCUGCGUGGUUACGAGGUUAUUUCUGCAUGGUUACAAGGUUAUUUCUGCGCGGUUACGAGGUUAUUUCUGCAUGGUUACAAGGUUAUUUCUGCAUGGUUACGAGGUUAUUUCUGCGUGGUUCCGAGGUUAUUUCUGCAUGGUUACAAGGUUAUUUCUGUGUGGUUACGAGGUUAUUUCUGUGCGGUUGCAGGGUUAAAACUAAAAAACCUCAACGGUUAACAGUUUAGGCGUUAAUUCCGAGUGGCUAGGAUCAGGGCUAUGGUUUGGAAGGCUUCAAUUACAAACAAAGCAUAAUUACCAAGUAUCAUCAAGUAUGAUAGAGCAAUGUGAACUGCGGUGGUGCAGUGGUCUAAGUAGCAUGUUCUGACACCAAGCACCAAGGCAGACAUAUAUUGAUGUUCUGGGGACCUUGAUCUAG